GGGUGUGAGGACAAUCUUGCUACAAUAUCUAUUAUUACACUGAUCUCCAGGUGAUUUCUAGGUAGGUGUCUUCUGCCCUCCUCACUGUUCCAUGUGCAUCCCUUCUGAAGCUUUGUCCUAGGUUGAAGAGAACAGCUUUCACUGACUAGAAGAGGCCUGAUCUUAUAUCAAGGUUAUAUGAGUAGCUUGUGCUCCUCUGCUAGAACCUCCAAACAAGUGCUCAAGGUGUCAUUUCUUAAGAUCUGUUCAAUUUAAUUUUUGCGAUGUGUUUCUCAUUUGUUUAGAAC
This is a non-coding RNA of Cricetulus griseus (Chinese hamster), 287 nucleotides long. Lineage: Eukaryota; Metazoa; Chordata; Mammalia; Rodentia; Cricetidae. The record is from Rfam.